AUCAACAUUACCUUUAUUCAACAUGCUGUCACUGCAGCAUUGUGUGUUUUCUCUGAUGUUUCUUUCCAUCCUCACAGGUGUCAGCUGUGAAGAACUCACUCCAGUAGAGAAAGAAGAGAACAGUUUAGAAGGCAGCUCUGUUACUCUGUCCUACAGAUACUUGGAAUUGUCAUCUAGUGAUUAUUUCUUCUGGUACCGACAAUAUCCAGGAAAACCACCAGAGUUCAUCAUCUCCCACUCUGCUUCAGGACAAUUGUUUUUUGGAGGAGAAGUAAAUGAUGUAAUCCCUGGACUGAAGUUUGAAGUGGAGGGCAAACAAAUCCACAUGAACAUCUCCUCAGCUAAGGUGUCUGACUCUGCUGUGUACUACUGUGCUGUCAAGUAA
Molecule: non-coding RNA, 385 nt
Organism: Sander lucioperca (pikeperch)
Lineage: Eukaryota; Metazoa; Chordata; Actinopteri; Perciformes; Percidae
Source: the annotation of a RefSeq genome assembly